UACAGAGGGUGCAAGCGUUGUUCGGAAUUAUUGGGCGUAAAGCGCGUGUAGGCGGCUUUGCAAGUCGGGUGUGAAAUCCCUCGGCUCAACCGAGGAAGUGCGCCCGAAACUGCAGAGCUUGAGUACCGGAGAGGAUGGCGGAAUUCCCGAAGUAGAGGUGAAAUUCGUAGAUAUCAAGCGGAACACCGGUGGCGAAGGCGGCCUUCUGGACGAUGACUGACGCUGAGACGCGAAAGCGUGGGGAGCAAACAGG
RNAcentral lists this ribosomal RNA (253 nucleotides) under uncultured bacterium. RNAcentral's name for it is "partial 16S ribosomal RNA". It matches the Rfam family "Bacterial small subunit ribosomal RNA", at positions 524 to 776 of the family's 1533-position model. The record is from RNAcentral.